Long non-coding RNA from Apis florea (little honeybee), 670 nucleotides. Lineage: Eukaryota; Metazoa; Arthropoda; Insecta; Hymenoptera; Apidae. The record is from RefSeq and is a predicted model, not a curated record.
UAUUCAUUAUAAAAAUGAUAAUUUCAAUUUUCAAACAUCUCUUAUUUUUAAUUUAUUUUCAAUAAAAUCCGUUUUAUCUUAAUAGUAAAAAGUUUCUCAUUCCACAUUCACACAUAAACACAUUUAACUUUUUUCUUCAAAUCGUAUUAAAAAGAACCCUUUAUCGAUCGAAAACAUUCAAUCCUACAGAAUUUAUUUAUUACUAUCAGAAUAGAAGCAAUUGAUUUGAAUUACAGUACUAUUCGAUGCAAAUUUUGAAUCUUGUGUACACGGACACAAUUCUAUUCGAAUAACGGUCUAGAUAAAAAUUCAUCUGAAUGGCACUGUGGUGGGGAUGAUGUUGUUAGGGAGACUGCUGCCCGUGGCCGAUACCAGUCUGUUCGCGUUCACGUUCAGUCGGUGCGUGCUAGCGGCUCGUGUCGCGUGUUUUCAGUUCAUUUCUUUCUUCGUCGUCAUCCUCGACACACGAUUCGCCGUUUCGUUCAUCUUUACGCGAGUUUCGUUUACGGUUCACUCUGUACAAUCUUCGAAUUCCCCGUUGAAAUAUUACGGUGUGACAUCGAAAAGUGUCAGAGAAGACUCUGUGGUUCCGGACAGUCGAUAUCGAUCUUUGGAACACCGAUCGCGAAUCGAGAGGCCGGAAUGAGAGGAGAAGAAGCGGCGAGGUGAC